RNAcentral lists this ribosomal RNA (700 nucleotides) under uncultured bacterium. RNAcentral's name for it is "bacterial SSU rRNA". It matches the Rfam family "Bacterial small subunit ribosomal RNA", at positions 73 to 789 of the family's 1533-position model. The record is from RNAcentral.
GUUACCUUCGGGUAAUGAGGAUGGCGGACGGGUGAGUAACGCGUAAGGAACUUGCCUCUUGGACUGGGACAACUGUUGGAAACGACAGCUAAUACCGGAUAUUAUGAGAUUCUCGCAUGAGAAACUUAUGAAAGCUAUAUGCGCCAAGAGAGAGCCUUGCGUUCCAUUAGCUAGUUGGUGGGGUAACGGCCCACCAAGGCGACGAUGGAUAGCCGGCCUGAGAGGGUGAACGGCCACAAGGGGACUGAGACACGGCCCUUACUCCUACGGGAGGCAGCAGUGGGGAAUAUUGGACAAUGGGCCACAAGCCUGAUCCAGCAAUUCUGUGUGCACGAUGAAGGUCUUCGGAUUGUAAAGUGCUUUCAGUUGGGAAGAAGAAAGUGACGGUACCAACAGAAGAAGCGACGGCUAAAUACGUGCCAGCAGCCGCGGUAAUACGUAUGUCGCAAGCGUUAUCCGGAUUUAUUGGGCGUAAAGCGCGUCUAGGCGGAAAAAUAAGUCUGAUGUUAAAAUGCGGGGCUCAACUCCGUAUUGCGUUGGAAACUGUUUUUCUAGAGUACUGGAGAGGUGGGCGGAACUACAAGUGUAGAGGUGAAAUUCGUAGAUAUUUGUAGGAAUGCCGAUGGAGAAGUCAGCUCACUGGACAGAUACUGACGCUGAAGCGCGAAAGCGUGGGGAGCAAACAGGAUUAGAUACCCUG